RNAcentral lists this ribosomal RNA (246 nucleotides) under uncultured bacterium. RNAcentral's name for it is "partial 16S ribosomal RNA". It matches the Rfam family "Bacterial small subunit ribosomal RNA", at positions 524 to 776 of the family's 1533-position model. The record is from RNAcentral.
UACGUAGGGGCAAGCGUUGUCCGGAAUCAUUGGCGUAAGAGCGUGUAGGCGGCUCGGUAAGUCCGCUGUGAAGUCCAGGCUCAACCCUGGAAUGCCGGUGGAACUGUCGAGCUAGAGUCCGGAAGAGGCGAGUGGAAUUCCUGGUGUAGCGGUGAAAUGCGCAGAUAUCAGGAGGAACACCAAUGGCGAAGGCAGCUCGCUGGGACGGUACUGACGCUGAGACGCGAAGCGUGGGGAGCAAACAGG